This 583-nucleotide ribosomal RNA is filed under the name uncultured bacterium. RNAcentral describes it as "partial 16S ribosomal RNA". It matches the Rfam family "Bacterial small subunit ribosomal RNA", at positions 355 to 932 of the family's 1533-position model. The record is from RNAcentral.
UGGGGAAUUUUGGACAAUGGGCGAAAGCCUGAUCCAGCAAUGCCGCGUGUGUGAAGAAGGCCUUCGGGUUGUAAAGCACUUUUGUCCGGAAAGAAAUCCUUGGCUCUAAUACAGUCGGGGGAUGACGGUACCGGAAGAAUAAGCACCGGCUAACUACGUGCCAGCAGCCGCGGUAAUACGUAGGGUGCAAGCGUUAAUCGGAAUUACUGGGCGUAAAGCGUGCGCAGGCGGUUUGCUAAGACCGAUGUGAAAUCCCCGGGCUCAACCUGGGAACUGCAUUGGUGACUGGCAGGCUAGAGUAUGGCAGAGGGGGGUAGAAUUCCACGUGUAGCAGUGAAAUGCGUAGAGAUGUGGAGGAAUACCGAUGGCGAAGGCAGCCCCCUGGGCCAAAUACUGACGCUCAUGCACAAAAGCGUGGGGGAGCAAAACAGGAUUAGAUACCCUGGUAGUCCACGCCCUAAAACGAUGUCAACUAGUUGUUGGGGAUUCAUUUCCUUAGUAACGUAGCUAACGCGUGAAGUUGACCGCCUGGGGAGUACGGUCGCAAGAUUAAAACUUAAAGGAAUUGACGGGGUCAUAGCUG